CUGGCGGCGUGCCUAACACAUGCAAGUCGAGCGAAGCGCUUAAGUCAGAAUCUUCGGAGGAAGACUUUUGUGACUGAGCGGCGGACGGGUGAGUAACGCGUGGGUAACCUGCCUUACACAGGGGGAUAACAGUUAGAAAUGACUGCUAAUACCGCAUAAGACCACAGUACUGCAUGGUACAGUGGUAAAAACUGAGGUGGUGUAAGAUGGACCCGCGUCUGAUUAGGUAGUUGGUGGGGUAAUGGCCCACCAAGCCGACGAUCAGUAGCCGGCCUGAGAGGGUGGACGGCCACAUUGGGACUGAGACACGGCCCAGACUCCUACGGGAGGCAGCAGUGGGGAAUAUUGCACAAUGGGGGAAACCCUGACGCAGCGACGCCGCGUGAGCGAUGAAGUAUUUCGGUAUGUAAAGCUCUAUCAGCAGGGAAGAAAAUGACGGUACCUGACCAAGAAGCCCCGGCUAACUACGUGCCAGCAGCCGCGGUAAUACGUAGGGGGCAAGCGUUAUCCGGAUUUACUGGGUGUAAAGGGAGCGUAGACGGUGAUGCAAGUCAGAAGUGAAAGCCCGGGGCUCAACUCCGGGACUGCUUUUGAAACUGUGUAACUGGAGUGCAGGAGAGGUAAGCGGAAUUCCUGGUGUAGCGGUGAAAUGCGUAAAUAUCAGGAGGAAACCCAGUGGCGAAGGCGGCUUACUGGAAUGAAACUGACGUUGAGGCUCGAAAGCGUGGGGAGCAAACAGGAUUUAAUACCCUGGUAGUCCACGCCGUAAACCAAUGAAUAUUUAAGUGUCCGGGGGACAAAGUUCUUUCGGUGCCGCAGACAAACGCAGUAAAUAUCACACCUGGGGAGUACGGAUCGCAAGAAGGAAACUCAAAGGAAUUGACGGGGACCCGCACAAGCGGUGGAGCAAGUGGUUUAAUUGGAAGCAACGCGAAGAACCUUACCAGGUCUUGACAUCCCUAUGACCGGUCCGUAACGGGGCCUUUCCUUCGGGACAGAGGAGACAGGUGGUGCAUGGUUGUCGUCAGCUCGUGGUCGUGAGAUGUUGGGUUAAGUCCCGCAACGAGCGCAACCCUUACCUUCAGUAGCCAGCGAGUAGCGUCGGGCACUCUGGAGGGACUGCCAGGGACAACCUGGAGGAAGGUGGGGAUGACGUCAAAUCAUCAUGCCCCUUAUGAUUUGGGCUACACACGUGCUACAAUGGCGUAAACAAAGGGAAGCGACCAUGUGAAUGCGAGCAAAUCUCAAAAAUAACGUCUCAGUUCGGAUUGUAGUCUGCAACUCGACUACAUGAAGCUGGAAUCGCUAGUAAUCGCAAAUCAGAAUGUCGCGGUGAAUACGU
This 1342-nucleotide ribosomal RNA is filed under the name uncultured bacterium. RNAcentral's name for it is "bacterial SSU rRNA". It matches the Rfam family "Bacterial small subunit ribosomal RNA", at positions 36 to 1371 of the family's 1533-position model. The record is from RNAcentral.